CCCUGGAUGGGUGCUGUUUUCUCUCAGCCCACAUCAUUGGUGGGACCUGGGCAGCUGGGAGAGCUGAAAAGUGCCAGGAAACAUGCUCGUUCUGUUUCAGUGUUUUUAUGAAGGAGACAAAAAGGGGUGCCCUUACCCCCGGGUUGAAGCCAGGGAGGGGUCCUGUAGAUUCAGGACACAUGGGCACAGUGUGGGCCCUGGACUGGAGGGUUUUUGAGGGGGUAAGGAGAUGGGCCUUUGAACUCUCCUUUUCCUGCCUCCUUUUCCGUUGGUGGAAGUGACCAGCUUUGAACAGAGCUCUCCCCUUGACUCUGAACUCACCUCCCUCUGCUGUGAGCCGUGCGCGUGAGGCACCUCUUGGUUUAGACACAGGGCUGCGAGGAGGACCCUGUUUAGAACCUCCUUAUGGCUCAUUCUCAUGGCAUGUGACUCCCGUUCUGGUCCCUUUUCUUCUCUCUACCCCAGGCUCUUAAGAGGAGGGGGAAGAAAAGCAUCUGUGGCUCCUUUAGGCCAACAACGGGUGUGGAGAGCCGCCCAUCUGUAGCCAUUCUGAGGCCUGUUGAGAGCCGGAAGACAAAAAGGAGACGUGGCAUCUCUGACUACACCUCUAGAGAAUCGACUUUGACGUUGAGAAAUUGAAUAGUAAAAGCCACUUGGAAAGAAGGAGGGGGUCGCGCCAGAGAAGGGCAUAAACGCUGAUGGUGGGAAUGGGAUUUAGGGAGACGGCAUUACAGAGAAGACUUCCUUCUAAUUCAUCUUCCAAGCUCCGUGCCAAAACAGCAUUUGGCAUGGUUCACAGGGAGUGAUUGUGUGAUAAUGAACCCUAAGGUGUCCCUUAAUUGAAGACUGAGCAUUGCGGUUUGUGCCAAGAGUCAUAAAUGGCGCAGGCUUGCGGGAGGAUGCAUUUUCUUAAAUGUAUCGACUUCAAUCGAGAGAAACACAAUUGCCCGCCAGGAGCUCAUGGUCAAGGAGCGGGGACCCUGCCGUCGCCACCAAGUGAGAUGCUUGGUAGGAGGAAGAAACGGUCGUGAAAGUUGGUGCCACGUGACAGCCACGGGCGAGGCCCUGCCGGUGCACUGCAGUCAACCAUCUUCACUGAUUCUGUAUUUGCAAAUUCACCUACUCACUAAAAUGUGUUUAUAACCUUAAGAUCAACA
Bubalus bubalis (water buffalo) is the source of this 1157-nucleotide long non-coding RNA. RefSeq lists it as uncharacterized. The record is from RefSeq and is a predicted model, not a curated record. The transcript is spliced from 2 exons. Lineage: Eukaryota; Metazoa; Chordata; Mammalia; Artiodactyla; Bovidae.